RNAcentral lists this long non-coding RNA (2890 nucleotides) under Triticum aestivum (bread wheat). RNAcentral describes it as "long non-coding RNA (TAES_LNC012874)". Lineage: Eukaryota; Viridiplantae; Streptophyta; Magnoliopsida; Poales; Poaceae. The record is from RNAcentral.
CUGCAGGCCGGCCCGCUGGAUUUGAUUGCAUCUCUUCUCCGAGACUUCAUCCACCAACUUGAUCUUGUCUCGGUUCACUCAUCAUCUCAGUCCUGAGUCAAACUUGCGUAUCAACCAUCUCAAGGUUUCAGCUCAAACUUUGGUCAUCCGAAUCCUGAAACAGCUGCGUGAUCUGCAGCUGCAGAGUUCAACAGCCAGAUGAUCAGAAAACAGCACUAAUCCAAAAAAGAACAGCACUAAUCCUAAACAUAUAUAGACCAAAUUCCCAAGUAGUAGUAAUGUCAGCCUUGCGUUGUUCUAAACUUCUAAUGGACUAUGUUCACUGCUGAUUAAGAGUCAAAUGUUUAUGAGCCUUACCUGCACUAAUUCAUCUUGUCAGUUAUAUUCUCCCGUUAACCAAUUGCAUGCUCAUGCUGUUACAAAGUUACUGCAGAGGCCCGAUCAAAACAAGAGACCAACUCCUUCCAUUUAAUCCCACCAUAAAUCCCCUUGUUACAACUCCCCUUAACGCAAUAAAAUACCAUAAAUCGCUUUGUUACAACUCACGUUAGCACAAUAAAGCAAAGGGAAACCACCAUAAUUUACUCCUCUCGUCCCCAAGCUCAUUUUCUAGAACUCCAGAUCUUUUUGUAUCGGGAAAAGAGAUGGAAGAUGAGAGGAAAAGAGCCAAACUGCGCAAAUCCCUGCAGCUCUGCAUCUCCAAGAAACUCAAGAAGAUCCCUCCGAUUCACAUCCCCAGCUCGACCAUUCCCGCAACCAUCGCCAGCAGCAGGCGGCUCCUCUCCACCUGCAGGUUCCCGCGUACACCGUCGCUGGACAUGGACCAGGCCGCCACCGCUACCACCAACAACAACAACAGCGGAGGCCACGCGGCGACGCUCUCCGACGUCGACCGCUUCCUCUUUGACAACUUUCGGUCUCUCUAUAUCCAUGACCAUGACGACGACAACGCGCGUUUUUCGUCAUCGCCCAGGACGUCAUCCACGUCCAUUAUCGACGAGACGCAGCUCACCGCAGGAACAACAUCCUUGUCGAACUCAGUCAAGGAAGACACCGGAGAAGCCCGACCAGGUGAUGACACCAGCGAUGAUGCGGCCAUAGUCCUAUUCUCCAUGGACCCUUACACCGACUUCAGGAGGUCCAUGCAGAACAUGAUAAAGAUGCACCACGGUCUGGAAUCUCAGUCACUGGACUGGGACUUCUUGGAGGAGCUACUCUUUUACUACCUGCAGCUCAACGAUCAAAGUGUGCACAGGCACAUUCUCAAGGCCUUUGCUGACCUCACUGCUGGAACCCAAAGGGAUAUCCCAGCCUGUGGAAAACCGCACUGGGCUGACAAGAGCGUUAGGAGUAGGAAAUACUAGGACACAGAUUCAAAGAUUUAUGUUACAGGAUACAUGUUGCUACUGUACCAUGUCAUCUAUUGCAUAACCUGAUUCGCAAAGAAAUGUAACGGAAUGUAGAAUACAUCUUCCUGUAUUGAAUCCGAAGAAUGCUGUAGACAGAUAUAUGGGUUAAGGAUUCCGAACAGAGUUUCUGACAUUUUAAGGAUUGAUUUGAUUCGUCAUGUGUAAACCGGAGGUAGUCUAUUACACACCUCGAUCGUCUGCCCUCUCCCCCUUGCUCUGCUUUCCUUAAUAUUCACCGUCGAGUCAUCAAAGCCAUCAACUAAUUCAAAGGGGCUCGGCUGGCCCGGUCGCCCUACACUAACGUCCCUUCCAAAGGUGAAGCUCUCGUCUUUGGCAACCAGCAAAUGGAGGGCUAAAACUGUAGUUUUGAAGAGUGAUUAAUGCUCCAGAUUUUUGACUUAAUUUGUUUCUUUAUCUAGUGAGCUCAAACAGGAUCUUCAUUAGUUGUGUUCCAGUUGGAAAAUUUUAUUUUUUAGUCAUCUUGUCGUUUGAAAUGAAAGAAUUGAAGAAACAAGGCUAAAUUGAUAAAAACUCAUUUUGAUAUUGUUAUUAUUGUUGAACAUUGCAGGAUAUCAGGAUCAGAGCAAGAAACAUCAAUGCUUAAGCAGGAGAGAUAAUUGGGGUUUUCGAGGAUACAGGCAAAGGAAAUCUGGUUUUCACAGUUUGCAUGGAAUUGAGGCAUCGGCAGUACUCAAGGCAGUGGCGAAACAUCUGAAAUAAUCAAAAUCAAAGUUUGACAGGGAUAUUCAUGUGGAUUGCUCGGAGAGGAAAAGCAUGAGGGUCCUGCAAAAGGCAGUCGUGAACGAGCUGGAGCUUCCUCUGUCGUUGACGGCCAUCUUCAAUUGGUGCGAUGACUGACGAGGAAGAUGAUUUGUGGGAUAGACGCAGACUCUUCAGGGACGAUAGCAGAUAUCAGUACAGAAAUCUUAAGAAAGCUCGUUAACGGUAGAUUUGUAGUGAUAAUUCACAAUGGGAGUUAAAAAUACAUUGAUCUGUACAAGUGCGGUGUCCCAGUAAUACCAAUUUUAAAUAAUAAGGUGCUGUGGAUCAGGCAUGGGAGGUUUCAACCUGGUUUUUGUUCCAAAUUGAAACAAAUCAGGGAACAAAGAGCUCCAUAGUGACUUUGUUGUCAAUUAUUUUCAACUGGGGGAGCCAUGCUUGUUUUGCCUUCUCUACUACUACAGAUACAAGCCUCGAUGUUCACCUGUAUUGCUAAUGCUACGAUUACCAGUACUAUCUCAAUGUUCAGGCAAUUUUGUUGGGUUUGCCAAAAAAAAGGCAAUUUCUUGGGGAGUAACUUACCUUGUACUUGCAAAUAGAUACCGCACAACAAAAGGGAACUUCCAGGAAGAUAAUUAGAGCCAUCCAGAGCUCUUGACCAUUGGUUGUUCUUGUCAAGAUUUAGAACCUGCUCUUUCGGGAACCUGCCGCUGAAUCAAACUAGUGCGCCUUGUCGUCCAGAUCCAGCAACAGCAGCAUAC